GACGAACGCUGGCGGCGUGCUUAACACAUGCAAGUCGAACGCAGUGGCGCACGGGUGAGUAACGCGUAAUCAACCUGCCCUUCAGAGGGGGACCACAGUUGGAAACGACUGCUAAUACCGCAUAGUGACGGACGGGAGUGGGGCUGAUUAGCUAGUUGGAUGGGUAACGGCCCACCAAGGCGAUGAUCAGUAGCCGGUCUGAGAGGAUGAACGGCCACAUUGGGACUGAGACACGGCCCAGACUCCUACGGGAGGCAGCAGUGGGGAAUCUUCCGCAAUGGACGAAAGUCUGACGGAGCAACGCCGCGUGAGUGAUGACGGCCUUCGGGUUGUAAAGCUCUGUUAAUCGGGACGCGGUACCGGAAUAGAAAGCCACGGCUAACUACGUGCCAGCAGCCGCGGUAAUUC
Molecule: ribosomal RNA, 408 nt
Filed under: uncultured bacterium
Lineage: Bacteria
Description: partial 16S ribosomal RNA
Rfam family: Bacterial small subunit ribosomal RNA
Source: RNAcentral